This 465-nucleotide ribosomal RNA is filed under the name uncultured bacterium. Its description in RNAcentral is "partial 16S ribosomal RNA". It matches the Rfam family "Bacterial small subunit ribosomal RNA", at positions 28 to 507 of the family's 1533-position model. The record is from RNAcentral.
GACGAACGCUGGCGGCGUGCUUAACACAUGCAAGUCGAACGGAAAGGCCCUGCUUGCGGGGUACUCGAGUGGCGAACGGGUGGGUAACACGUGGGUGAUCUGCCCUGCACUUCGGGAUAAGCCUGGGAAAAUGGGUCUAAUACUGGAUAGGGGCCAUCUUUAGUGUGGUGGUUGGAAAGUUUUUUCGGUGUGGGGUGAGCUCGCGGCCUAUCAGCUUGUUGGUGGGGUAGUGGCCUACCAAGGCGGCGACGGGUAGCCGGCCUGGGAGGGUGGACGGCCACAUUGGGACUGAGAUACGGCCCAGACUCCUACGGGGGGCAGCAGUGGGGAAUAUUGCACAAUGGGCGCAAGCCUGAUGCAGCGACGCCGCGGGGGGGAUGACGGCCUUCGGGUUGUAAACCCCUUUCGCCAGGGACGAAGCUUUUUGUGACGGUACCUGGAGAAGAAGCACCGGCUAACUACGUG